UCUGAUCUGCUCUGGUUUUCUCAGGCAUUCCUUGUGAAGUUUACCCAUUGGGUGACGGACUGAGACGUUUUAGAAGUGCAUCCCGAAAUAAUCUAGUGAAUCCUGGAGAUAAAUUAAGUUUUUUUUGUGAAGAUGAGUAUGAUAUGGAGGGUCCUGAUGAAGUUCAGUGCUUAGACACGGGGAAGUGGGAUGCCCCGUUUCCAACCUGCUCUGAGAAAUGCAGAAUACCAGACAUACCCAGUACUGUUCGCAUCACUUCAUCUGUACAAGGCAAUGCUAUAAGUAAAGGAGAUACAUUGUCAUUUGACUGUCGUCAACAAGACCACAUCAUGCAAGGGAGUUCAACAAGUAGCUGUUUGGGAAACGGAAAGUGGAGCACUCCACCGCCUGAGUGCACAAUAAUUCCCUACAUGGAGCAAAAAAAAAGAAACGAGCCCAAAACAAAUUUCCAAACAAAAUUCUGGGUCAGGACCAAGUCUAUCUAUCCGCAGCUGCUGCACAUUGUUCAGCACCACCAACUCUUGAAAAUGGAGAUACCAAAUUAUUCAUCAGAUCAGAUGCAGUUUAUCAAAUUGGUGACAGAGUUGAAUAUAUCUGUCAGAAUAAGUACAUUAUGGAUGG
Molecule: long non-coding RNA, 621 nt
Organism: Xiphophorus couchianus (Monterrey platyfish)
Lineage: Eukaryota; Metazoa; Chordata; Actinopteri; Cyprinodontiformes; Poeciliidae
Exons: 4
Source: RefSeq, a predicted model, not a curated record